GGCUGACAUUCACAUCCAACCCUUUCACCUCUGGGUAAGACGCGGCCACCCAGCCCUCCGGAUGCCAGCGCCAGCCUUGGGCCCCACAGCACGUCCCGCUUUCCACCCCCAGGCCCUGCUGCUCCUGGCUCUGGCACAGUCUCUUAGAGUCUGUCCGUGGGAUAAUUUUUCUUCUGAACAUUGGGGAAAAUAUUUGUGCAUGACAAACAGGCUACGUGCGUGGUCACAAUUUUUGUAGGGAGGCGACCCUGCUUGCAGCAGGCAGUGCAUUUGCAGCCCCACGGCAUGGGUGAGGCAGCUCAGCACAGGAGCAAGAGCACACGGGCCCAGAUGCGACACUUGUGGCUGGCAGUGACAUUGGUUCUGGCCUGAGAGCUCACUGGGCCGUCACGGGAGCAUCUCUGUGUGGAUCUCCACGGGAUUUCUCCACACGCUGUGGGCUCCAUUCUGAGAGGGAACAUUCCUGGAAACUCAAGCAGACGCUGCAUGGCCUCUUAUGACCUGAUCUCCGGAGCCUCCCAAUGCCAUGCCCACUGCAUGUUGAUCGUCAAGUGCCUGGGAGGAGCCCCCCUCGAGGGAGAAGAACUAGAUCCCGCCCUUCCCAUGAAGAGCGGAAUCGGCUUCCAAGGUGUUCGUGGCGGUCACCCCAGAGACCAUCCACCUCUUCCCCUCCCUUGACUGGGGACAUUCCCAUUUCACAGGGAAAUUGCAAGAAAUAAACAAGGUAAUGUACAGGAAGCUCACUA
Felis catus (domestic cat) is the source of this 746-nucleotide long non-coding RNA. RefSeq lists it as uncharacterized. The record is from RefSeq and is a predicted model, not a curated record. The transcript has 2 exons. NCBI's taxonomy places the organism in Eukaryota, Metazoa, Chordata, Mammalia, Carnivora, Felidae.